GACGAACGCUGGCGGCGUGCUUAACACAUGCAAGUCGAACGGUGAACCAGAGCUUGCUCUGGGGAUCAGUGGCGAACGGGUGAGUAACACGUGGGCAACCUGCCCCAGACUCUGGGAUAACCUCGGGAAACCGAUGCUAAUACCGGAUACGACCACUUCGGACAUCCGACGGUGGUGGAAAGUUUUUCGGUCUGGGAUGGGCCCGCGGCCUAUCAGCUAGUUGGUGGGGUAAUGGCCUACCAAGGCGACGACGGGUAGCCGGCCUGAGAGGGCGACCGGCCACACUGGAACUGAGACACGGUCCAGACUCCUACGGGAGGCAGCAGUGGGGAAUAUUGCACAAUGGGCGAAAGCCUGAUGCAGCGACGCCGCGUGAGGGACGACGGCCUUCGGGUUGUAAACCUCUUUCAGCAGGGACGAAGCGAAAGUAGACUGUACCUGCAGAAGAAGCACCGGCUAACUACGUG
This 467-nucleotide ribosomal RNA is filed under the name uncultured bacterium. Its description in RNAcentral is "bacterial SSU rRNA". It matches the Rfam family "Bacterial small subunit ribosomal RNA", at positions 28 to 507 of the family's 1533-position model. The record is from RNAcentral.